CCUACGGGAGGCAGCAGUAGGGAAUUUUGCGCAAUGGGCGAAAGCCUGACGCAGCAAAACCGCGUGAAUGUUAAGCCCUUCGGGGUGUAUAGUUCUGUCAAUAGGGACGACUUUUGACUGUACCUAUAAAGGCAGCACCGGCUAACUCCGUGCCAGCAGCCGCGGUAAUACGGCGGGUGCAAGCGUUACUCGGAAUCACUGGGCGUAUAGAGCGCGUAGGCGGGAUAGCAAGUCAGAUGGGAAAUCGUAUGGCUUAACCAUAGAACUGCAUUUGAAACUGGUAUUCUAGAGUAUGGGAGAGGUAGGUGGAAUUCGUGGUGUAGGGGUAAAAUCCGUAGAGAUCAAGAGGAAUACGCAGUGCGAAGGCGACCUGCUAGAGCAUAACUGACGCUGAUGCGCGAAAGCGUGGGGAGCAAACAGGAUUAGAUACCCCAGUAGUC
RNAcentral lists this ribosomal RNA (440 nucleotides) under uncultured bacterium. Its description in RNAcentral is "partial 16S ribosomal RNA". It matches the Rfam family "Bacterial small subunit ribosomal RNA", at positions 338 to 795 of the family's 1533-position model. The record is from RNAcentral.